UUUAUUUAUUGAAAUUCUAAAUAUUGUCAUUUAAAUUCACACAAUUUUUAAUAAAUAUACAUACAAGUAUAUACGAUAUUUAAUUGCUGGCUCAGCAACAAUUUGGAGACUACUCAACAUCUGUUUACCUUUUAGCCAAGUGGCAACUACGUAGCCGCCAUUGUCACAUUCGUUCUGUUCUUUUGGAAUUCGUUCAUUUUAAUUUUGGACUUGGAAGAAUUAACUUCACUAAUCAACGUUUUGAAAGAAUUGUAAAAAUACCUAAUCGGAAUGACGAUUUUUAGUAAAAUAUUACUAAAAUCGUAUAGGCAUAAAUAUGUAGCAACUAUAAUUUGUACAAGUUGAACAUUAUUUGAAGGAUGGCGUUGAAAAUAGCUGAUAAAAUUAGCACACCCAGCCUCGUGACGGAUAAAUGGGUUUUGUUGAACAAAAUGACUUUAGAUGUCUUAAUAAAGAUGGAAAAUUGAUGCAGCGGCUUAUAAAAUGUGCAGUUGGAACUGAGUAAUCUUUGUUUUAAUUUUACAAACAGCUGAGCGACAAAGCCUGGUUAUACUGGAUAAGAAGACCAAAAUAUUUAAAAAAAAGAUUGCAGAUGCAGUUUAAUAUGAAAAUAAAUGAAAAAAGUGGGAAACUGCAUAUACAAAAGGUUUGCUGAAGGUUGUGAAUAAUAUAUUUUACAUUGAAAUAUUGAAGGCACAUGAAAAGUUAAAAUGCGCUUAUAAUCAUUGGAAAGGAUUGGAAGUGUACCCGAAGUAAAGGUGAUUUUGUAUUCUCUUUGGAUUUGCAGCCUUCAAAAAUGUGUAUACUAGUAUAUUUAAAUAAACUAAAUAAAAAGAAAAUAUUUUUAAACUAAA
This is a long non-coding RNA of Bactrocera oleae (olive fruit fly), 854 nucleotides long. RefSeq lists it as uncharacterized. Lineage: Eukaryota; Metazoa; Arthropoda; Insecta; Diptera; Tephritidae. The record is from RefSeq and is a predicted model, not a curated record.